RNAcentral lists this ribosomal RNA (355 nucleotides) under uncultured myxomycete. RNAcentral's name for it is "SSU rRNA". It matches the Rfam family "Eukaryotic small subunit ribosomal RNA", at positions 77 to 405 of the family's 1831-position model. Lineage: Eukaryota; Evosea; Eumycetozoa. The record is from RNAcentral.
CUCUCUGAAUCUGCGAACGGCUCCGCAAACCAGUUGUAAACUAGAGCAAGCAAGCUUGGCGGGCUUCGGCCUCCAGGCGAUAUGGAUAACCCUGGUAAUUCUGAGGCUAAUACAAGAACGUAACCCCUGGUCGACUGGGCAACUGGAAGGCUGGGGAACGUGCGAUUCAUCGCAAAAAUCCACUGGGAAUAGGCGCACGUUCGGACCACCAUACCAAACGGUUUCACUGAUUUUCUGGGUGGCUCUUGCUGUGUGCUUCUGACCUAUCAACUAGAUGGCAGCGUAACGGACAUGCUAUGGUUACAACGGGUACAGAGGAUAAGGGUUCGAUCCUGGAGAGUGGGCCUGAGAGAUU